GUCUGUGAAAGAACAGCUGGAUCUUGUGAAGUGCUGGAAAUUUUCUCUUUAGUGUAAGUGGUCCACGGCUGAAGCAGUCGGACCACCUUUGAAAAUAACGUGUAAUUGUUAUUUCUCAUUUUGCCACAUCCUGUGGAGACAAAAGAUUAGUGUUGUGUCUUUUCAUUUUUUAUUUUUCUUCUUGGGGAAAAUAAUAUUGACAAUGGAGUUGAGUAUAAGCCUGCUCUUGAGGUUCACAGAUGAUACCUUUGAUCCAGAACUUGCAGCAACAAUAGAACAUGAACUUCAUGAGGACAGAGACUUGGGCUUAUUCACCACCAAGUCCCCAGUUCCUAACUCCAGUCCUUUGGAGUUAGAAGCAGGUUGCCCAAAGUUCAUGAUGCAGAAAAACCAUUUUUUCCGAGAUUUAUAGGAUAAGUCCUGUAAUUCCAGAUUGCUUGGCGCCAAUCAGGUACUCAAUAAAUGUUUGUUGAGUGAAUAUGUGAA
RNAcentral lists this long non-coding RNA (486 nucleotides) under Homo sapiens (human). RNAcentral describes it as "non-protein coding lnc-LYZL1-15:27". Lineage: Eukaryota; Metazoa; Chordata; Mammalia; Primates; Hominidae. The record is from RNAcentral.